GCUGCAGCGUCAUGGAGGUCUGCUACAGCUUCAUGGAGGUCUGCCACAGUGUCAUCAAAAUCUGCUGCAGAGUCAUCGAAGAUACCAGCCACACGUGAUGCUGGCUUCCGUUGCUCGUCGGACUGACGUGCAUCAAACUGGACAGUGGACAAGUGCAACACACUAUCGCUAUUGCAACCACCGACUGUGAUGCAGUGGGCAUCGGCAUCCAGCUGGGGAUCGGACACAGAGCAGAGUUGCGGACAUGCAAGCCCAGCGCACACGUGCUGCGUGGAGGAGACAAACUUCACUUUGGUUGCCCUUCAUGGAGCGUUGGAAGAACGUGCAUCGGACUGAACUGUUGGCCACUGUAAUGCACGCUAUUGCUGCUGCAAACAUCUACAGUGAUGCAGUGGACAUCAACGAUCAACCUUUAAUUUUGCAUGUGUCUGAAAAAAUAUUUUUCCUAGUGUGCUGCUUGUUGCCGCUUGUUGCCGCUUGUUGCCGCUAUCUUGGUUGUUGUGUGUGGAUCACGGUCGUCGUUAUGUCAUAGCAGUGGGCUUGUGCGCAUGUGUGUGUAUGUGUGUGUGUGCUGAGGAGAUGCUCCCCGCAUGAAACUGACAGUUGCCAGCAUGACUGCUUGUACACCAUGACCUUACAAGCACAACAUGUAUGCUUC
Sycon ciliatum is the source of this 658-nucleotide long non-coding RNA. RefSeq lists it as uncharacterized. NCBI's taxonomy places the organism in Eukaryota, Metazoa, Porifera, Calcarea, Leucosolenida, Sycettidae. The transcript is spliced from 3 exons. The record is from RefSeq and is a predicted model, not a curated record.